RNAcentral lists this unclassified non-coding RNA (386 nucleotides) under uncultured fungus. Its description in RNAcentral is "sequence contains ITS1". The stretch from base 1 to 108 matches the Rfam family "5.8S ribosomal RNA", at positions 50 to 154 of the family's 154-position model. Lineage: Eukaryota; Fungi. The record is from RNAcentral.
AAAGUGCGACAAGUAUCACGACUUGCAGAUUCCCGGGAGCUGACCAAUUUCUGAAUGCAACUUGCGGACCGACUUUCUGCCGUGUCGGCCGUGUGCUGCCGAGUGUUGUUGCCUUGUGCAUUACAUCUUUCUUUUCGUUCAGAAGAAAGGAUUCGGCGUUGGCCACACACCACACGCACCCGCGUGCUGCUGGGCGGCCAGCGCUCAGAAUUGCGCAAGCCCGGGAUCAAAGACGGAGCCUGCCUUGAAGAGAGCGCGCGUCUGGUCUAAAAAACCACGCCGCCCCUCGUCGGCAGAGCACAAACGAGUCUUUUCGCGAGAGAGUGCGACUACCACCUAACUUUUUCUGCUGACCUCUGCAGCAUAAGAAAACCCGCUGAACUUAA